RNAcentral lists this Y RNA (97 nucleotides) under Microcebus murinus (gray mouse lemur). RNAcentral's name for it is "Y RNA (ENSMICG00000042847.1)". It matches the Rfam family "Y RNA". Rfam says of the family: Y RNAs are components of the Ro ribonucleoprotein particle (Ro RNP), in association with Ro60 and La proteins. The Y RNAs and Ro60 and La proteins are well conserved, but the function of the Ro RNP is not known. Lineage: Eukaryota; Metazoa; Chordata; Mammalia; Primates; Cheirogaleidae. The record is from Rfam by way of RNAcentral.
GGUUGGUCCCAGUGGUGUUUACGACAAAUAUAUCACAACCAGUUACAGGUUCCUUUGUUCCUUCUCCAUUCCCACUGCUUCACUUGACCAGCCUUUA